GUAAAUAAAUAAAAUCUUCAAAAAAUAAAAUAAAAUCACCUUGGCUCCUGGGUGGCUGGGCAACUCUGGAUUUCCAACAGAGGGCAGUGUCUGGGGCUCCUCUGAGAAAUAGCUGCUGCUUCCUAAAUGUGGGCCUUGUGCCAGGCUGUAGUUUUCCGUGUUCAGUAAUGCUCAGUCUCUUUCCUGCUCUCAGGAGGUUAUCAGGCUGGAGAGAAAAGUUACUGUGUCAGGAUUCCUUGGCUACAAGCCACAGAAGACUCAUUUGGCUGGUAUACACAGUAAGGUCAUCUACUUAUCUGUUCAAAGCUUACCCAACAAAUACUUACUGAGUACCUACUGUGUUCCGGGCACGUUCAAGGCACUGGGAGUGCAGGCAGUAGACACAGUCCCUGCCCUCAAGGUGUUUACAUUCUCAUAGUCCCAGGACAAGAAGUCUCGGCUUGGUGGAGGGCUGAAUGGGGGUGGCUAGGGCAUGGGGGCAAUCUGGGUUUAAGGCCGUGACUCAACCAUGUCACAAGAACUAGGAUUUUGCAUCCUUCCGCUCUGCCGUUCACUAUACAUUAGCUUUUCCUUAUUGGGCUUGGUCCGUCUCAGUCAUUAGAUGGCCUUUCAUCACACCCCCACGAUCUAGAAGCAGGAGGAUCAGCAUAGCCAGAGUUUCACCUCUGCCAGUGUUAACAGGAGGCAGACCUUUCCCAGAAGCCUCCACGAAAAUACCCCGGUACCUCAUGGAUCCAAGUGUUGCGUGGUCAUUUCUUGCUGUAAAAGAGUCUGAGAAAGUAGGGACUAGACAAAAGGGUCCAAUCAGGAUUCUCCCCUUGGGUUGGGGGUGGAACCUCCCUUCUCUGAGCCCAUUACUGUUUUUAGGAAGGAAGUUAAGGGGAUGGUUGCUGAGUUAGGUGGCACGAAGGGUCUACCACAGAGGCAGACACUGAAACAGACAAAUAGGAGAUCAGCUCUAUCCAUUUCUUCUGAAAAGCAGAUCUGUCCAUGAUGCAUUCCUUUCAAAUCCUUCAAUCUGCCUCCCCCCUCCCCUCUUCUGUGGUUGGAAAACUAAGGUGCGUUGGAAUUACCCAGGAAGCUUGUUGAAAGUUCUGUGUCCUGGGCCCCAUCCACUGAGCUGGGUGGGGAUCCAAAAAUUUGCAUUUUAACAGACACUUCGGGUGAUUCUGAUGUAGAGUCCUGGGGCAACACUUUGGAACACUAAGGUGGACAGGAUCUAGACCUCAGAAUGGUUUACAUGAACCUUCCAUGAGCUAGAACCUCUUCCCAUGUCUCCCCCACACUGUAAUGCAGAAUUUCCUGUCUCCUACAACGUGUGCUCUUUGCCAUGUAUGUGCUUUUUGCCUCCCAGCCUUUAUGUGGGCUCCGGUCCCCUGGCCUGCCUCUCCUGGGCACAGUCUGCCUCAUUCCUGCAGGGAUUUUCUGCUUCCUCCUCUGCUUCCCACUUUGCACACUCUUGUUAGGAUUCCCCACUCUCUUUCCAGAUAGUGAGAUCACUGCAUUUCCCCACCCUCUAGAUCUCCUGGGCACAGAUCAGGUACUCAAGGAUGUUGUGUGUAAGCAUGUUCAUGGUCAGAGGGGAAGGUGCUGUUGACUGGGUGUGCUGGGAGGAGGUGGAAGUUGAGCCCGGGCUCGAAGAAGGAGUGGAAUUUUGAUGUGUGCCUGCAACAACCGGGGCAUUCUAGACCAAGAGAGGCUUGUGAGAGGGGACAACAAGGCAGGGAAGUGAGGGAUGCCUCGGGAGGAUUUGACUGGGGGAAGGGCUUGCUUGAGAAGAGGGGUGAGGUAGAACUGGAGAGGUGGUUUGGGGCUGGACUGGGAUCUUGCGCAUGAGACUGAGGGGUCUACAUAGUCCAGAAUCAGGGAAGGAAGGGAGACAGGGAGGUUAGGGAAAGGAAAGAAAGAAAAUCAGUGGCUCAGGCCAUAGAUUUGGGGGCAGGGGAUGGGUAGAGAUGAAGUUUUUUAGGCUGCCUCCCAUUUCCCUCAGUGAAGUGGGGUGGGAGGGGUGGUUUUAGAAGCAGCAGCACCAUGGGGUAAAUUCCUGCGUCUUCCAAGUGGAGACUGGACAGAGAGGCGGUGUGUGGGCAGCAGCAGGCCAGGAUGUGGAUGCCAAGAGCACAAGGCUCUGGAGCCCGGCACACGAGGUUCAGAUCCUGCCUCUCUGCAGCACAGGGGCUGUGAGAGCCUCGGGAAGUGACCUCAUUGCCUUAGCCUGUUUUCUCCCCUGUAAUGUGCAGGUACUAACACACCUGUCUGUUUUCCUUUUCUAGUGCCACCAGGACAAAUGACAAUGACCACAAACCAGGCGCCUUAAAACAGUAGAAAUCUAUUCUCUCACAGCUUAAGAUGCCUGAAGUCCAAAAUCAGAGGCCCUAGGGAGGCUCCUUCCUCGCCUUUUCCAAUUUCAGGAACUAUUGCAGGGGAGGACCGCACAUUGCAGCUAAGAAAACUCAGGCUCAGUGGGAUAAGGUAACUUGCCCAAGGUCACAGAGCUGGGGAGCAGUAGAGCCACAAGAAUCCAACCGCCACCUUCGCCACUCCCCUCCCCCCAGUACUUCCUUGCCACAGUGGUGGGGGAGGGGCAGGCUCAGAGCCUCUCUUCCCUGUUUCCCUCCCUCAGAAGGUUCCAACUCUCAACGUGACCAAAUGCUUGGGUCCACAGAGGAGGCCAGCCGUCUUAGGAAUCUUCCUGCUGAGAGCAGAAAGGCCACAGGCAACAGGGGCUAGAAUCAUCCAGUGUAACCUAGAAAGGAGCAGUGGUGUCAGACCAUGUGAAGUCAGUCUCCUUGCUCAAGGGCCUUCUGAAGCCUGGGCGGCUAUUUGGGGGGCACUUGGUUCCCUCACAGAAAGUGUAGACGAAGAUACCAUGGCACGUAAGGAUGGCAGUCCUGCUUAUCUACUGUUACAAUAAACCAUCCGGAAACUUAGUUGUGAAAAGCAACUAUUGCAUUAUGCUCACAGAUUCUGUGGUCUGAAAUUCGGAAACGGGCCAGUGGGAACCACUUGUCUCUGUUCCCGGAUAACUGGGGCCUCACCCGCAAAGACCUGAAGGCUGGUGAUUACUUCAGCGGCUGGAAUCACCCAGAGGCCUCUACGGUCCUUUGGUAUUUGUGGUGGUUGAUGUUGGUUAUUGGCUGGGACCUCCGCUGGGACUGUCAGCAGGAGCAUGUGCCUCGCCACCCCCCACCCCACGUGGCUGGGGCUUCCUUACAGCGUGAGAGCAUCAGCGUAGGCCAAGCUCAAGGCUCUGAAAGGGAUUGCCCCAGCCAGGAUGAGGAGGACCCAUUACUUUCAUGACCUUGCCUUAGAGGUCAUGCAGAGCCACUGCAAUGCAUUUUACUGGUUAUCAGUGAGUUGUAGACCCACCCAGUUUCAAGGGGAGGGGAAUUAGACUUCAUCUCUCUCUCUCUUUUUAAAAGUUUUAUUUAUUUACAUAAUCUCUACACCCCGCAUGGGGCUCUAACUCACAACCUGGAGAUCAAGAGUCAUCCGCUCUUUCGACUGAGGCAGCCAGAGACCCUAGACUCCAUUUCUUGAAAAGGGCAUGGCUAGUUCUAAAAGACCAUGGAGGACAGAAGGUAUCAUUGGGCCUAUCUCUGGAAGAUACAAUCUGCCAUGAUAGCUAACAGAGUGUUUACUGUGUGCCAGGAAUUGAAUUAACUCAUCUUAUCUCCAAACCCCACCCCAUCCAGAGACUUCUUUUGAGUAUGUAUCUAUCUGUCUCUAUAAAUUUCCCUUUCUCUAUAUAUUAUAUAUAAUACAAAUAUAUACAUUAAUAAAUUAUGUAUAUGUAUGUAUCACUGUACUAAUAUAUUAUAUACAUAAUACAUAUACAACUCCUUGAGGUUUUAAAAGGCUGGGAUAUGAAAUAAAGAUAAUCAGAAAUUUCAAGGUUGUCUUCCUGUAUUUCAAAGGAGUUAAAGGGUUUACCUUUGAAAUCUGUCCCCUCUCCUUCCCAUCCAUUGCCACCCCCUGGUCCAGGAUGCCAUUAAAUCUCAACUGAGCAGCUUCAGCAGUAACCUCCAUGGUCUGUCUGCCACCCACAGUGCUUCCCCAGAGCCCCGAUCCUUCACAGUAGCCAGAGCUAGAGCAAUCUUUUCUAAAGAGCUCUCACU
This is a long non-coding RNA of Mustela erminea (ermine), 4118 nucleotides long. RefSeq lists it as uncharacterized. The transcript has 3 exons. The record is from RefSeq and is a predicted model, not a curated record. Lineage: Eukaryota; Metazoa; Chordata; Mammalia; Carnivora; Mustelidae.